RNAcentral lists this unclassified non-coding RNA (364 nucleotides) under uncultured bacterium. RNAcentral's name for it is "contains 16S-23S intergenic spacer region". The record is from RNAcentral.
UCCGGGUUGGUCCCGGCGGUCCCGCCAGACGUGGUAACUGGCGGCGGGGGUUGCGCUCGUUGCGGGACUUAACCCAACACCUCACGGCACAAGCUGACGACAGCCGUGCAGCACCUGUGCGCGCUCCCUCGCGGGUCCCUCCCCUUUCGGGUCGGUACCACGCUCAUGUCAAGCCCGGGUAAGGUUCUUCGCGUUGCGUCGAAUUAAACCACAUGCUCCACCGCUUGUGCGGGCCCCCGUCAAUUCCUUUGAGUUUCAGCCUUGCGGCCGUACUCCCCAGGCGGGGCACUUAUUGCGUUAGCUGCGACACCGAAUCCGUCUAUAGACCCGGCAUCUAGUGCCCAUCGUUUACGGCGUGGACUAC